GGAAUAUUGGACAAUGGGCGCAAGCCUGAUCCAGCCAUGCCGCGUGUGUGAAGAAGGCCUUCGGGUUGUAAGGCACUUUUGUACGGGAAGAAAAGCACUCGGUUAACACCCGGGUGUCAUGACGGUACCGUAAGAAUAAUCACCGGCUAACUUCGUGCCAGCAGCCGCGGUAAUACGAAGGGUGCAAGCGUUACUCGGAAUUAAUGGGCGUAAAGCGUGCGUAGGUGGUUUGUUAGGUCUGAUGUGAAAGCCCUGGGCUCAACCUGGGAAUUGCAUUGGAUACUGGCAGUCUAGAGUGCGGUAGAGGGUAGCGGAAUUCCCGGUGUAGCAGUGAAAUGCGUAGAUAUCGGGAGGAACAUCCGUGGCGAAGGCGGCUACCUGGACCAGCACUGACGCUGAGGCGCGAAAGCUAGGGGAGCAAAC
RNAcentral lists this ribosomal RNA (423 nucleotides) under uncultured bacterium. RNAcentral's name for it is "bacterial SSU rRNA". It matches the Rfam family "Bacterial small subunit ribosomal RNA", at positions 358 to 773 of the family's 1533-position model. The record is from RNAcentral.